UUCAAAUUAGGUCUCUCAGUGGAUGUCCAAGUUGUUAAUUCCCAGGGCUGAAAUAUGAGCAACCCACUGCGCCAGCCAAAACAGCAGCAUUAAGACUGAUGGUGCUUUUCUGCCUGGGAAUCUCCAGUCUGUCUUCCUUCUUGAGUCCGUAAUAGGUGACUCUGCCUUCCCGGAGCUCCAAACCUCAGUCAGAAGGGGAAGCAGUCCCAUUUACUCUGCACCAAGAGCUGCCGCGCCAAGGUGCAGGCAGAACUGCUGCGCCGGCCACAAGAGUUGUGCUGGUGACCUGUGUGACUCCUCUACUGGGAAUCCUCUGCUCCAGGAGCGACCAAAAUUUGUCUGAAAGUGUGGUGUCCUCUCGUUCUCUGAGCUUUCACUAGGAGCUGCAAUCCCGAGAUGUUAGCGAUCUUGGAUCGUUCCUCGCAAUGAUGUUAUUUUCUAGCUUUACCAAAAUGUUGCCAUGCUUAUCAUCUUGGACUUUCUGCAUGAGGACAAGGACCUGGUCUGUUAGAGCAGGAGUCCCCAACCCCCUGCUCACAGACUGGCAUCAGCCUGCAGGCUCUCAGGAACGGGACCAUACAGCAGGAGGUAAAGAAGCAUUGACCUCAAGCUAUGCAAUACUGAAACAAUUGCCGCUCAUUGAGCUAGAUGCUGACUGACUGACCCUGCCCCUUCAACCUGCCAGAGCUACAGCUUUCACUGAGCGAGAGAGGGACUUCAGCAGCUUUCUCCGGAUGAGAGCCCAGGACCUGGUUCUGGUUACACUGGCUACACGCUUGAGAGCCUUCCUGUCCGUGCUUCACCUUUUGACACUUCGGCUUAAUUGUCCCUGAGGAAUCGCCACACUGUCUUCCACAGUGGUUGAACUAAUUUACACUCCCACCAACAGUGUGAAAGUGUUCCUAUUUCUCCACAUCCUCUUCAGCAUCUGCUGUCUCCAGAUUUUUUAAUGAUUGCCAUUCUAACUGGCGUGAGAUGGUAUCUCAAUGUAGUUUUGAUUUGCAUUUCUCUGAUGACCAGUGAUGAUGAGCAUUUUUUCAUAUGUUUGUUGGCCUCAUGUAUGUCUUCUUUUGUAAAGUGUCUGUUCAUAUCCUUUUCCCACUUAUGAAUGGGCUUGUUUGUUUUUUUCCUGUAAAUCUGUUUGAGUUCUUUGUAAAUUCUGGAUAUCAGCCCUUUGUCAGGUGGGUAAACUGCAAAAAUUUUUUCCCAUUCUGUUGGUUGCCGAUUCACUCUAGUGACUGUUUCUUUUGUCGUGCAGAAGCUGUGGAGUUUGAUUAGGUCCCAUUUGUCUAUUUUGGCUUUUGUUGCCAAUGCUUUUGGUGUUUUGGUCAUGAAGUCCUUGCCUACAGAUUAUUACUUUUAUGAAACAAUACUGGUGGGGUAACAUCAAUAAAUCAGCCAAAAAUGCUUAUGUAGUCUGCCCCACCCAUCCUAAAUUCAAUCCUAGAAAGCCAGUGCACAUAGCCUCUGGCCAUUUAUUUUUCUUUUUUAAGACGGGAUCUUGCUCUGUUUCCCAGGCUGGAGUGCAGUUGUGUGAUCAUACCUCACUGUAACCCCAAACUCCUGGGCUCAAGUGAUCCUCCUGCCUCAGCCUCCCAAGCAGCUAGGAGUACAGGCUCGUGCCACCAUGGCAGCUAACUCUGGGCCAUUUUAACCUCCCUGAUGGGCCAUGAAAGACCUGGAGGAUAUAUUUUUAACCAGCCACCUCCCUUGUUUGAAUACAACGAUGUUUUAGUUUUGCACCGUAUGUUCUCCUGUUAGGUUGAAGGCAUCUCCUGUAGAUGAGCCACUGCCUUAGCAGUGGCCAACGCCCUGUUAGAGAAGAUAAUCCCUACCUGGGUAACCCCUUUGAACUUCACAGUGAAUGAGAAGCUUGUCUUACAGGACAAGUUAUAAAACAUGCAUGUGCUCUCUGGCAUAUUUACAUUGUACAACACUUCGAUUGUGAUUAUCAUCCCUAGUGCUCUGGACGAGUGGAACACACCAGUAGUCCUCUUAAGACUCAACUGGCAAAGUUGAUGGAAACCUUACAUUUGCCAUGGCCAAAAGCCCUGCCUAGAAUGCUUCUGACCUCGAGGACCCCUCAGAUUAUAUAAACUCUCAUCAGUCUUUCUACAGUGUGCUCCCAGGAGACAAAGACCUAAAACACCACAACCUACAGCAAGGAUAUUGUUGUCUAUUGGAAAAGACAUUUACAAAAGGAUUCCCUCCAACUUCACUAGAAACGUGCACACCAGGUGCAGCUGACCAACCUCUGCAUAGCCAAAUGCAAAGGCAUGGAUUCCUGGAUACAUGCAUCUCAUCUGAAAAAGAUAUCACAUGUUCUCUCUUAUAUGUGGAAGCCAAAAGAUUGGAUCUCACAGAGGUAGAGAAUAGAAUGGUGGGUACCAGAGGCUACGAAGAGAUGGGGGAGGGAGGACAAAGAGAAGCUGGUUAAAGGGUACAAGUAGAUAGCAGGAAUAAAUUCUAGUAUUUGAUAGUACAGUAAGGAAAUGAUAGUUAAUAAUAGUUUAUUGCAAUACAAAAUAGCUAGAAGAAUGAUAAUGUUCACAACACAAGGAAAAGAUAAAUGAGGAUAGGUAUCCCAAUUACCCUAAUUUGAUCAUUGCACAUUGUAUACAGGUUUUAAAAUAUCACACGCACCUCCAAAAUAUGUACAACUAUUGCAAAUCAACAAAAGAUAAGAGAAAAAAAUAAAAAUAAACACCCCAAACCCAGCUCCUAAGUGUGGACUUGUGCUCCUGUCAACAUAUUAAAACUAAAAAUGUCUAGGAUGUGAAGCAGAUAGCCUCUGAGGAAAUGGCUUCUCCCAAGAUGUCCAGAACAGGCCUAUACACCCUUUUCUCAGUUCUAAUUCUUGCUUUAUUUUCUUCUUUUUCCUGGAAGGAUAAUUCCAUUUUCCAGACCCUCCCCACAGGGGAAUUUUACUAAUUGUUGGCUCUGUCAUCAGAAACCUCCAUCUGUUGAUGACUCUACUGACUCUCCAGUUCAACCUGUAACAGAUCUCACUAAUGCCCAAGAAACAACCAUCUGUAUAAAUUGUAUCCCACCCUAAGGAUCCAGGAUGAGGUCCUCAUCCAAUCUAGGCUUAUCUACCUGAAUUAAGAUGGCCCAGUGAGUGGCUGGCACACCCUCAAGAGCUGCUUAUGACACAGAUGACUCAAUUUUUCAGCAUGAAGUCACAAGCGGUGGGUCACACCUGUAAUCCCAGCACUUUGGGAGGCAAGACAGGUGGAUCACUUGAGAUCAGGAGUUUAAGACCAUCCUGGCCAACAUGGUGAAACCCUGCCUCUACUAAAAAUACAAAAAUUAGCAGGGCGUAGUGGCAAGUGCCUCUAAUCCCAGCUACUACAGAGGCUGAGGUCGGAGGAUCAUUUGAGCCUGGGAGGUGGAGGCUGCAGUGAGCUGUGAUUACACCACUGUACUCCGGUGUGGGUGACAUAGCAAGCCCCUGUUUCAAAAAAAAAUUUGGAUUGCUCCAAUUUUUAAUAUUAAAAGUGAUGGUGGCAGGGCACAGUAGUUCAUACCUGUAAUCUCAACACUUUGAGAGGCCAAGGAAGGAGGACCCUUUCAGCCCAGGAGUUCCAGGCAACCCUGGGCAACAUAGUGAGACGACAUCUCUACAAAAUUAAAACUUUAAAAACUUAAGAAAUUUUUAAAAAUUAAUGAUGCAGUGUACAUACAUCCUCCAUGGCAGGGAGAAUUCUAACAUAUACAACAAUGAGGUUGAACCAUCUGAAACUGCUGUUUGACCAAUUUUUUGACCUACAAAAAUAGCAAUUUCUUAUGUUCAAUAGAUGAGGAAGUACUGGGUGAUGAAGGUGGCUUUUUGAAUUCAAUUUUACUAAAUUUUUUUGUAACAAUUUACUCUCACCAGUUAAUAGGUGGCACAGGUGUUCUUUCUCCAGCUUUUUGCCAACAGAUGACAUUGUCAUUUGGUUUUCAUUUCUGCCUCUGUGAUGGCUGUGAAACAGUAGCUCUCCUUUAAUUUUAAUUUUUCUUAUUUUCUUAAUAGGGAAAUUUAGCAUCUUUUCAUGCAUUCAUUGGAAAUUGUAUUUUCUUCUCCAAAUUGCUCUUUCAUGUCCUUUUCCCAUUUGCUAAUAGAUUGUUUAUCUUUUUCUUAUUAAUUUGUUUUAUUUUUUACAUAUUUUGGAUUUUAAUCCCCUGUGUUUUACAUAUGCCACAGGUUCCUUUUCGGGUUUCGGCUUUCCCUCUGUAAGCUGUCUUACUGCCUUUUGUCAUACAGAACGCUUUAUAUGAUGCAAUCAAAUUAACUGAAAUAUCCUCAGAAUUUUGAUUUUGAUAUCUUAAGAAAUUCUUCUUUAACCUACCCUCCAAAUGUGUUCUUCCAUAAUUUUUUUUCUAUUGGUUGUGGGGUGUUAUUUUUCACAUCAGGUCAUUAAUCCAUCUGAUAAUUAUUUUGACCUAAAUGGCCAGUGGAAUGUUCGUGCAUUUCUAUUGAACUUUUUUUCAUGUGGAAAGCUAGCUAAAUAAUAAUAAAACAUCCUUGUGGAAUCA
This is a long non-coding RNA of Callithrix jacchus (white-tufted-ear marmoset), 4518 nucleotides long. RefSeq lists it as uncharacterized. The record is from RefSeq and is a predicted model, not a curated record. NCBI's taxonomy places the organism in Eukaryota, Metazoa, Chordata, Mammalia, Primates, Cebidae.